AAAUUCCAAGAAUUAUAAUCUCGAUCUUCCAAAUCUUCUUGAAUUCCUCAAACUCUUCUCAGCUUCAAUGACUUUAUGGCUUGAUUCUCAACUAUCAAUUUGGUGUUUCAUUUUUUUUAAAAGUCCUCCUAAAGGUUCAUUUUAUAGGGCUUUGAAGCUAGGCUAAGUUGGAUGAAGAAGAAUUCAAUUCCAAUCAGAAUUUUCUCAUUAGACUACGUGGGCCACGGCUUACCUCUACCAGAGUUGCGGUCUCGACCAUUUAAUUAGCAAAAAUCAUAAUUGCUCUAGAACCGUUGCAAUACUUUAACUUUGACACAAUUUUGGAUAAUCUUUUAGGCUGAACUGGGCAAAGUGGUAAGCAUGAAAGUUGUAUCUUUCUCUUAGCUUUCCAAUGGUCUAAGAAUCAUCUCAUUUGAAAUUUUAUAAAGAGAGUUAUAGUCAAAAUACCGAGACAUGUGUAAUGGAAAUUUGCACCUUAAAAUUGCUUUCCUUCUUCUAUUAAAAUUCUUUCUUCAUUAA
This 519-nucleotide long non-coding RNA is filed under the name Theobroma cacao (cacao). Its description in RNAcentral is "long non-coding RNA (TCAC_LNC000866)". Lineage: Eukaryota; Viridiplantae; Streptophyta; Magnoliopsida; Malvales; Malvaceae. The record is from RNAcentral.